AAUCAACGCUGGCGGCGUGCCUAACACAUGCAAGUCGAACGCGAAAGUCCCGCAAGGGAUCAGUAGAGUGGCAAACGGGUGAGUAACGCGUGGGCGACCUACCUUCGAGUGGGGGAUAACCUUCCGAAAGGAGGGCUAAUACCGCAUGACAUUCCGUGUUUGGACACACGGGUAUCAAAGCCGGGGAUCGCAAGACCUGGCGCUUGAAGAGGGGCCCGCGUCCGAUUAGCUAGUUGGUGGGGUAAUGGCUCACCAAGGCUCCGAUCGGUAUCCGGCCUGAGAGGGCGGACGGACACACUGGGACUGAGACACGGCCCAGACUCCUACGGGAGGCAG
Molecule: ribosomal RNA, 336 nt
Filed under: uncultured Acidobacteriota bacterium
Lineage: Bacteria; Pseudomonadati; Acidobacteriota
Description: bacterial SSU rRNA
Rfam family: Bacterial small subunit ribosomal RNA
Source: RNAcentral